AACGAACGCUGGCGGCAUGCCUAACACAUGCGAGUCGAACGAGACCUUCGGGUCGAUUGGCGCACGGGUGCGUAACGCGGGGGAAGCGGGCCUUAGGUUCGGAAUAACUCGCUGAAGGGGGUGCUAAUACCGGAUAAUUUCUUCUGACCAAAGAUUUAUCGCCUUUGGAUGGGCCGGCGUUGGAUGAGCUAGCUGGUAGGGUAAAAGCCUACCAAGGCGACGAUCGAUAGCUGGUCUGAGAGGAUGAUCAGCCACACUGGGGCUGAGAAACGGCGCAGACUCCUACGGGAGGCAGGAGUGGGGAAUAUAGGCAAAUGGGGGAAAGCAUGAUCCAGCAAGGCCGCGAGAGUGAUGAAGGCCUUAGGGUUGUAAAGCUCGUUUACCCGGGAUGAUAAUGACAGUACCGGGAGAAUAAGCUCCGGCUAACUCCGUG
Molecule: ribosomal RNA, 433 nt
Filed under: uncultured bacterium
Lineage: Bacteria
Description: partial 16S ribosomal RNA
Rfam family: Bacterial small subunit ribosomal RNA
Source: RNAcentral